AAUGCCAUCUGCCUCCUUGUUUUGGGCUGGGGUCUUUGUCAAGGAGGUCUCCCCACACAGACAGACAUGGAGUCCCUGCCAGUCCUCCUUUACCUGCUGGCCGCUUUCCAUGGUGUCCAAGCAAAGGACCACCUUGUGCAAUGGGGAGAGGGGAUGGUGGUACACUCGCAGAAGCUCAGCCUCUUCUGUGCCACCUACACACGUUCAAUUUCGAGAUACGGAGUGUCAUGGAUCCGCCAUAGCCCAGAAAAGGGGCUGGAGUGGAUUGGUAUAAUCUGGGGUGAUGGAAGCACCAACUACAACCCCAAUCUCCAGUCUCGGGUGAGCAUCUCUAGGGACACAGGAAAGAACCAAGUGUUCUUACAGCUGAGCACCAUGACUGCUGAGGACGCAGGCAUGUAUUACUGUGCCCAAGACACUGUGGUCCAGAUGCACUGGGAACACAGACAUAAACCUUCUCUGCAGGGAACAGGAGGAGCUCAGCUGCAGAGGGUGCUCAGGAACCACCAAGCAAGAAUCCAACCACAAGGGAAGUUAUAUGGGGCACUGAGGAGGGUCUUCCUCUGUGGUCAGGGAAUUCCUUUGCUCUCUUAG
This is a non-coding RNA of Loxodonta africana (African savanna elephant), 594 nucleotides long. The record is from the annotation of a RefSeq genome assembly. Lineage: Eukaryota; Metazoa; Chordata; Mammalia; Proboscidea; Elephantidae.